Molecule: ribosomal RNA, 253 nt
Filed under: uncultured bacterium
Lineage: Bacteria
Description: partial 16S ribosomal RNA
Rfam family: Bacterial small subunit ribosomal RNA
Source: RNAcentral
UACGUAGGGCGCAAGCGUUGUCCGGAAUUAUUGGUCGUAAAGAGCUCGUAGGCGGUCUGUCACGUCUGCCGUGAAAACCCGAGGCUUAACCUCGGGCCUGCGGUGGAUACGGGCAGACUAGAGGUAGGUAGGGGAGAAUGGAAUUCCCGGUGUAGCGGUGAAAUGCGCAGAUAUCGGGAGGAACACCGGUGGCGAAGGCGGUUCUCUGGGCCUUACCUGACGCUGAGGAGCGAAAGCGUGGGGAGCGAACAGG